This 253-nucleotide ribosomal RNA is filed under the name uncultured bacterium. RNAcentral describes it as "partial 16S ribosomal RNA". It matches the Rfam family "Bacterial small subunit ribosomal RNA", at positions 524 to 776 of the family's 1533-position model. The record is from RNAcentral.
UACGUAGGGUGCAAGCGUUAAUCGGAAUUACUGGGCGUAAAGCGUGCGCAGGCGGUUAUGCAAGACAGAGGUGAAAUCCCCGGGCUCAACCUGGGAACUGCAUUUGUGACUGCAAGGCUAGAGUACGGCAGAGGGGGAUGGAAUUCCGCGUGUAGCAGUGAAAUGCGUAGAUAUGCGGAGGAACACCAAUGGCGAAGGCAAUCCCCUGGGCCUGUACUGACGCUCAUGCACGAAAGCGUGGGGAGCAAACAGG